UACGAAGGGGGCUAGCGUUGCUCGGAAUUACUGGGCGUAAAGCGCGCGUAGGCGGACCUGCAAGUCGGGGGUGAAAGCCCGAGGCUCAACCUCGGAACUGCCUUCGAUACUGCGGGUCUCGAGUCCGGGAGAGGUGAGUGGAAUUCCUAGUGUAGAGGUGAAAUUCGUAGAUAUUAGGAAGAACACCAGUGGCGAAGGCGACUUCCUGGCCUGUUCUUGACGCUGAGGCGCGAAAGCUAGGGGAGCAAACGGG
Molecule: ribosomal RNA, 253 nt
Filed under: uncultured bacterium
Lineage: Bacteria
Description: partial 16S ribosomal RNA
Rfam family: Bacterial small subunit ribosomal RNA
Source: RNAcentral